This 1385-nucleotide long non-coding RNA is filed under the name Homo sapiens (human). RNAcentral describes it as "long non-coding RNA NONHSAT182517.1". The record is from RNAcentral. Lineage: Eukaryota; Metazoa; Chordata; Mammalia; Primates; Hominidae.
UCAGGGCAAAGAACAGGAACAUACAUUUGUCUUUAGACUGGAUCAUCCAAAAGCAUGCAAACAUUUAUGGAAAUGUGCUGUGGAGCAUCAUGCUUUCUUCCGCCUUCGAGGCCCCGUCCAAAAGAGUUCUCAUCGAUCAGGAUUUAUUCGACUAGGAUCACGAUUUAGAUAUAGUGGGAAAACAGAGUAUCAGACCACAAAAACCAAUAAAGCAAGAAGAUCAACAUCCUUUGAAAGAAGGCCCAGCAAACGAUAUUCUAGACGAACUCUACAAAUGAAAGCAUGUGCUACAAAACCUGAAGAACUUAGUGUUCACAAUAAUGUUUCGACCCAAAGUAAUGGCUCCCAACAGGCUUGGGGGAUGAGAUCUGCUCUGCCUGUGAGUCCUUCCAUUUCCUCUGCUCCUGUGCCAGUGGAGAUAGAGAAUCUUCCACAGAGUCCUGGAACAGACCAGCAUGACAGGAAAUGGCUCUCUGCUGCCAGCGACUGCUGUCAACGUGGUGGAAACCAGUGGAACACAAGGGCCUUGCCCCCACCCCAGACCGCACAUAGAAACUACACUGACUUUGUUCAUGAGCACAAUGUGAAGAAUGCAGGAAUCCGUCAUGAUGUUCAUUUUCCUGGCCAUACAGCCAUGACUGAGAUAUGAGUGUUGAGCCUCUUAGGCUUUGGGACUCUUUGUCAUGCAAGUUGAUGGUAUACAUUAUCUGGUGUUUAUAAAGGAUUAAUCACAUUAGGAGUAUUUGGGAGAAUUUACAGUGAGUCACUAGUUGUUCAGUGCUGUUUGUAAUUGAAUUCUUCCAUGAAAGGGACAAGGAAUCAAGGAAGCCAUAUAGCAUCAAUGAUAAUGACAAAUGUUUGUGUUGAAAAGAGUGUGUAUACCAUUGUGGUUUUGGAAGAGUUUUCAGACCUUAGUAUGUUCACACAUCACCAGACUGUAUCUCAGGAGAAGGUUUGUGUUUGUGAACAAGGUGCCCAUUAUUCCCCCACCACAUGCCAUCCAAAGAGAUCGAGGUUAAAAGAAUCAGACACACUAAAAACACAGUGGAAGCAUGUCUAGGCAUAAUAUAUCAGCCUUUUGAGAUAUUUAUUAAAAACUUGUUCUUAUACACUAUUUUAAUAUGUCUAAAGUGACACAUACCUUAAUUUAAGUGCCUAAGAUUUUAAUUAAUAUAAUUUUUAAUUACAAACACUUUUACUUUUUAAUAAACACGAAUAUUUUAACUUACCAAAAGAUUUAGAGAUCACAUUAAUAAUGUGGCUCAUGUAUAGAGAAAUCUGAAUGGUUAGUUUUGAAUGGUUAACUGAUUAACAUUCAGUUAUCAUAACAGUUAACCAGUGGUUAACUGAAUGGUUACAUUACUACUGAAUGGUUCUAUAAAAUG